This is a long non-coding RNA of Rhagoletis pomonella (apple maggot), 477 nucleotides long. RefSeq lists it as uncharacterized. The record is from RefSeq and is a predicted model, not a curated record. Lineage: Eukaryota; Metazoa; Arthropoda; Insecta; Diptera; Tephritidae. The transcript is spliced from 3 exons.
AUUAUAAAUUUUUUGUUUGUUUUAUUUUUAUAAUAAGUCGCUUCCGUUUAGGUAAGAAGUGCAAGCACCGACAAGGCACACGUUCCCAGCACUGAGACAUCAAACGGAAACGGGAGUUGAAGUCGAGACACGUACUUUACAUUGCUGGGGCGUACGGGCGAUAAUCUACCAGGAGAAUGCAUGCAUAUAUGUAGCAGCGGUAGUAACAGAAGAAGCGAUGGUAAAAUACCAAAAAGGCACUCGAAUCGGCGCAAAAUCACCGGAUGUCACUAUACAACUCCCAUGUAGAAUCGCUCGCUGAUUCCUAAAAUCGGUUCUUUCCCGAUGGACAAGUUUUUAAGACAUUUGUAAUUUGCCGUUAUUCAGCUAAAAAAAAAAAAAGUGGUUCCACUUAAUCACGUAUAUCUUACGAACCAGUUGGACAAUCUUAAUAUUAAACUAGCGUUCCCGGCGCGCUUUGCUAUACCCUACACUUUU